RNA transcript from Apis mellifera (honey bee), 6381 nucleotides. It is a transcript of the gene named no mechanoreceptor potential C, with no coding region annotated. The transcript is spliced from 15 exons. The record is from RefSeq and is a predicted model, not a curated record. Lineage: Eukaryota; Metazoa; Arthropoda; Insecta; Hymenoptera; Apidae.
AUUACGAGACUCGACUCGACGUUCAGGGAAAUGGGGAGAUAAUGAAUUUCAUUUACAAAAAUGCUCGAUUCAUUCGAGUCGCUUCCGAAUCGUUUCGAAUCGUUCUUUCGACUCCAAAGUGAAAGAGAGAGAAAGAUAUAUGUAUAUAAACGUUGAAAGAGAGGGUUGCAAGACGAAGAAGGAUCCCAGAUAGGCGGAUGGCGUGCUGGCUGCCGGAAGUCGCGUGUCGUGCCACACUACCGUACCACUUUCUACCCACCCCCCACCCCUCCUCCAUUACUGCCCAAGCCGCUCAAGGAACCAAUUUUACCGCAUUCCCUUGCAACCAAGGAAGGUACGAGGAACGUUGGGCAGCCUCGGUUGAGCCGCCAGGUUGAGGUUAGGCUAGGCGCGCGUUACGGUUAUCCUUCGCGCAUGGAACGCGGUGAUUGGUCGAUUCGGAUCUGGUUCGUUCCGAGCAACGAAACCAGGGGUGGAGGAAGGCAAACCGUUGGCCACCUCGCGCCAGUCUUUCGCAAUCGCGAGGAUUGGACGCGGCUGAUCGAGAGUCCUCGUCGCCUCGAUCUCCGAACUUCGCCGCUCGAUGGAUGGAUCGAUCGACUGAUGAUCGGUCGAGAAAGAUUCGUUCGGAGAAAAUCGAACGGAACGAAAGAAGAAACUUUUUUCGACGAUUUUUGUGAGAAGAGGAAGUGAGUGGGGGGAAGAAAGAGUGUUGGUUGCAUUGGGUAGGCAUGAGGGGAGCCGGGGCGGGUGAGCGAUGAGCAGCAGCGGCAGUAAGAGGGCGUCGGGGGGGGCGAAGGACGAGAGGAAGAACGCCUCGAGCAAGGAGGAGAGCCCCGUGACUGGUAGGGAUCGGGACGAGGGGUCGGGGGGGACGAGCGCGGAUGGCACGCCGCAGCCUGGGAGCAAGCCUGGGUCCGCGGGGGCGAGCAGCAGGGAGGCCGUGCAGAAGCUUCUCGCGCUCGCCGCUCGCGGCGAAUGGGCGCCCGUGGACCAGCUGCUCAAAUCUUUGGAGAAGGCGGCCCAGAGCGCCGGGGAGGAUGGGGGGCCCCUUCUUCCUCUCGCCAGCGUCAUGGACCCGGCAACGGGGAUGACGCCGUUGAUGUACGCCGUGAAGGACAAUCGUACGGGAUUGCUCGACCGGAUGAUCGAAUUGGGGGCGGACGUAGGCGCCAGAAAUAACGACAAUUACAAUGCUCUUCACGUGGCGGCUAUGUACUCGAGGGAGGACGUGGUUAAGCUGCUCUUGUCGAAACGGAGCGUCGAUCCUUACGCGACCGGAGGACCGAGGCAACAGACCGCUAUACACUUGGUCGCGUCGAGACAGACGGGCACCGCGACCUCCAUCUUGAGGGCUUUACUGGCAGCCGCCGGCCGGGACAUCAGGUUGAAAGUCGAUGGGAAAGGAAAGAUACCGUUGCUGUUGGCUGUGGAAGCUGGGAACCAAUCGAUGUGCAGGGAAUUGUUGGCCCAACAGGCGCCCGAUCAGCUGCGCGCGACCACCGCGACCGGUGAUUCGGCGCUCCAUCUCGCGGCCAGAAGAAGAGACAUCGACAUGGUGCGGAUAUUGGUGGAUUACGGGGCAACGGUGGACAUGCAAAACGGCGACGGGCAGACAGCAUUGCACAUAGCGAGCGCGGAAGGCGACGAGACUCUCGUCAAAUAUUUUUACGGCGUGAGAGCGUCGGCCUCCAUCACCGAUCACCAGGAUCGCACGCCCAUGCAUCUGGCUGCGGAGAACGGGCACGCUUCCAUCAUCGAGCUGCUCGCCGACAAAUUCAAAGCGAGCAUAUUCGAAAGGACAAAGGACGGAUCGACGUUGAUGCACAUAGCGUCGUUGAACGGGCACUCGGAAUGCGCGACGAUGUUGUUCAAGAAGGGAGUGUACUUGCACAUGCCGAAUAAGCGAGGGGCCAGAUCUAUUCACACGGCCGCCAAAUACGGCCACGUCGGGAUCAUAAGCACACUUCUUCAACGAGGGGAGAAGGUGGACGCGACCACGAACGACAAUUACACCGCGCUUCACAUAGCCGUGGAGAACGCGAAACCAGCGGUUGUGGAGACGUUGUUGGGUUACGGGGCUGAGGUUCACGUUCGAGGUGGAAAGCUUCGAGAAACGCCUCUUCACAUAGCUGCCAGAGUGGCGGACGGUGACAGAUGCGCGCUCAUGUUGCUUAAAUCCGGUGCCGGGCCGAAUUUGACCACCGACGACGGGCAAACGCCAGUGCACGUAGCAGCCAGCCACGGAAACUUGGCCACGUUGUUGUUGCUCUUAGAGGAUGGAGGUGAUCCCAUGUGCAAGUCCAAGAACGGGGAAACGCCGUUGCAUCUGGCCUGCAGGGGAUGCAAGGCGGACGUGGUCCGACAUUUGAUCAAAUUCGUGAAGGAAAGGAGGGGCGCGGAGACGGCUACCUCCUACGUAAACAGUUUGACGAACGAAGGCGCGAGCGGGCUGCAUUACGCGGCCCAGAUCGAGCCGUCGGAGGUCGGCACGGCCGGGGACGACAGAGCGGUUAUUCGCGCCCUCCUCGAGGGCGGGGCGGACGUCUCGCUGCAGACGAAGCAGGCCCAAGAGUCGGCUUUCCACCACUGCGCGUUGGCCGGGAACAACGAGAUCCUGUCCGAGAUGAUAAGCGGGAUGUCGGCGACCGAGGUUCAGAAGGCGUUGAACCGGCAGAGCGCGGUCGGCUGGACGCCGUUGCUGAUCGCCGCCCACCGCGGCCACAUGGAGCUCGUCACAACCCUGCUCGCCAACCACGCGAGAGUGGACGUGUUCGACCUCGAGGGGAGAUCCGCCCUUCACCUGGCAGCCGAGCACGGCUACCUUCAAGUGUGCGACGCGCUGCUCGCCAACAAAGCGUUCAUAAACUCCAAGUCGAGAGUGGGGAGGACGGCGCUGCACCUCGCGGCGAUGAACGGCUACUCCCACCUCGUCAAGUUUCUCGUCCAGGAUCACGGGGCCGCGAUAGACGUCCUCACGCUGAGGAAACAGACUCCCCUUCAUCUGGCUGCGGGGGCCGGCCAGUUGGAGGUGUGCAAGCUUCUGCUCGAGCUCGGCGCGAGCAUAGACGCGACCGACGACCAGGGCCAGAAGCCGAUCCACGCAGCGGCUAUGAACAAUUACGCGGAGGUCGCCCAGCUCUUCCUCCAGAGGCAUCCGAGUCUGGUGAUGGCGUGCACCAAGGAUGGGAACACGUGCGCCCAUAUAGCUGCGAUGCAGGGCAGCGUGCGGGUGAUCGAGGAGCUGAUGAAAUUCGACCGUCAGGGAGUGAUCUCCGCUAGGAACAAGUUGACCGAGGCGACACCUCUUCAGUUGGCGGCGGAGGGGGGGCACGCGGAGGUAGUGAGGGCGCUGGUGAGGGCGGGCGCCUCCUGCGCCGACGAGAACAGGGCAGGUUUCACGGCUGUCCACUUGGCGGCGCAACACGGCCACGGCCAAGUGUUGGAAGUGAUGAGGUCCUCCCAGUCCCUUCGUAUAUCCAGCAAGAAGCUUGGCGUCACCGCUCUUCACGUAGCCGCGUACUUUGGCCAGGCUGACACCGUGCGAGAAUUGCUGACCCACGUGCCCGGUACGGUGAAGUCCGACCCACCGACCGGUGGCUCCCUCGUAGGAGAAUUGGGAAGCGAGUCUGGAAUGACGCCUCUUCACUUGGCCGCUUAUUCGGGGAACGAGAACGUGGUGCGGUUGCUGUUGAACUCGGCCGGGGUGCAGGUGGAGGCGGCUACCACGGAAAACGGUUUUAAUCCUUUGCACUUGGCCUGUUUCGGGGGUCACAUCACCGUGGUCGGUCUUCUGUUGAGCAGAUCGGCCGAAUUGUUGCACAGCUCCGACCGUUACGGUAAAACCGGCCUUCACAUAGCGGCCACGCACGGCCACUACCAAAUGGUGGAGGUGCUCCUCGGCCAGGGCGCUGAAAUAAACGCGACCGAUAAAAAUGGAUGGACGCCGCUGCAUUGCGCGGCGCGCGCCGGUUACCUCGACGUUGUCAAAUUGUUGGUGGAGAGCGGGGCGUCGCCCAAGAGCGAGACCAAUCUCGGCAGCGCGCCGAUUUGGUUCGCAGCGUCGGAGGGACACAACGACGUGCUCAAGUAUCUGAUGGAGAAGGAGCACGACACUUACGCCUUGAUGGAGGAUAAAAGGUUCGUGUACAACAUGAUGGUGUGCAGUAAGAACAACAACAACAAACCGAUCGAGGAGUUCGUGCUGGUGUCCCCGGCGCCCGUCGACACGGCAGCCAAGCUUUCCAACAUCUACAUGAAAUUGUCGGAGAAGGAGAAGGAGAGAGCGAAGGACUUGAUAGCCGCCGGCAAGCAGUGCGAAGCGAUGGCUACGGAAUUGCUUGCCUUGGCAGCGGGUGCCGACUCGGCCGGGAGGAUUCUCACCUCGAUGGACCGUAGGAACGUGGAGUUUUUGGACGUGUUGAUCGAGAACGAGCAGAAGGAGGUGAUCGCGCACACGGUUGUGCAACGAUAUCUCCAAGAGUUGUGGCAGGGCAGUUUGAAUUGGAACGCGUUCAGGACGAUCCUUCUGUUCGUCGCGUUCCUCGUCUGCCCCCCUGUCUGGGUCGUGUUCGCGCUCCCCCUCGGCCACAAGUACAACAACGUCCCAAUUAUAAAGUUCAUGUCGUAUCUAACCUCUCACAUAUAUCUGAUGGUCUUCCUUUUGCUGGUCGGUAUAAUUCCUAUAUACCCGGUUGUAAGGGCGAGCCUGUUGCCGUAUUGGUACGAGUGGUGCCUUCUCGUGAUGCUGUCCGGAUUAUUGCUCUUCGAGCUGACCAACCCGAGCGACAAAAGUGGAUUAGGCUGGAUUAAGCUGGCCGUGCUCCUGUUCGGAAUUUGCGGGGUCGCGUUCCAUCUAAUGGGUUUCGUAAUCGUCCACCGGCCCUAUUGGCCGACUUUACUUUACCUCAGGAAUCAACUGUUCGCCCUGAGCUUUCUGCUCGCCUGUGUGCAGAUCCUCGAUUUCCUCUCGUUUCAUCAUCUGUUCGGGCCCUGGGCUAUCAUCAUUGGUAACCUGAUGAAGGAUCUCGCGAGAUUUCUCGCCGUGCUGGCCAUCUUCGUGUUCGGUUUCUCGAUGCACUUUGUUGCACUGAACCAAGCCUUCGAGACCCAGCCGGAUGGCGGCAGGCGGAUGGAUGACAAAAAGAAAAAGGGCGUCUUCAACGACGAUUUGUUGACCAAUGUUACGGAAUGGAUGAUGGAGACGCCAUCGACGGCGCCUCCUCGUCGCUACGGCCGCUACAAGAAAAAAGAAUGUUGUGACGAUAACUCCCGAGAUAUAAAGAUGAAUCCUGUACUCGCCUUCGAAUAUCUGUUCUUCGCCGUCUUCGGCCAAACAACCCACGGCGAGCUGAAGGUCGAGACUAAUCAGCCGCAGUGGACCUCGGUCCUGUUCAAGUUGGCCUUUGGUGUAUACAUGUUGGUCUCGGUAGUCGUAUUAAUUAAUCUACUGAUUGCCAUGAUGAGUGACACCUACCAGCGGAUACAGGCCCAAUCGGAUAUUGAAUGGAAAUACGGGCUCAGUAAACUGAUCCGAAAUAUGCACAGAACGACCACCGCUCCGUCGCCCCUUAACUUGCUCACUACUUGGAUCGUGUACUUCAUCAAGGUGUGCAAACAACACGCCGCGAAACGAAAACGUCCCUCGUUAGUGCAUAUGAUGGGACUUCAGCGAGCUGCUCGUCUUUCGCCUAGAUCGAAGAUGGGCGCGAAAUGGUUGGCGAAAGUGAAGAAAGGUCAAGUUAGACCGAAGGACAGUGUAACUUUAUCCGUUGUACAUUUGAGUCCACUUGGUAGUCAAUUGUCGUUCAAUAGCGCUACCAGAAUCGAGAAUGUGGUUGACUGGGACUCGAUCCGUAAAAAAUAUUUAGCUUUGGCCGGGAACGAGCCUGAGAAAGAAGCGGACAAGGAUGCUAAAAACGAAGACGAGGAGAACGAGGAUGAGAACAUACAUAUGGUUGCCAACUCUUCCACGAUACCAACGACCGCGACGCCACCUGUUUAAAAGAAGUUUGCUCCUUCGCCUCGGAUAUAAAUAUAGAAAAGUUCGACCAAUUAUUAUCAAAUUUUAUCAAAUUUAAUGCGAUACGAUGCAUAAAUAUUCUUAUCGCGCUGAAUGUCGUAGUGAAAAUAAUUUUUAUGCGGAAGUAAACUAUUUUAAAUAAUGUUUCGUGGAGUCAUGAUAUUUGAAGGUUAACUUAUAUUCGCGAGAUAUGAAAAAAGCUAUCGUUUUUGGAAUUUACUCAGGAUGAGUCCCGUAUUGGCCGUUGAGUUAUUGUUCUUCGCCAUCUUCGGUCAGACGACCCACGAACAAUUCAAGGUUGAAAUAACGCAGCCCGAAUGGACCAAAGUUCUCUUCAAGCUCACCUUCGGUAUUUAUAU